This 498-nucleotide ribosomal RNA is filed under the name uncultured delta proteobacterium. Its description in RNAcentral is "bacterial SSU rRNA". It matches the Rfam family "Bacterial small subunit ribosomal RNA", at positions 97 to 573 of the family's 1533-position model. Lineage: Bacteria; Deltaproteobacteria. The record is from RNAcentral.
GGCGCACGGGUGAGUAACGCGUGGGUAAUCUACCCCUCGGUCAGGAAUAACCCGCCGAAAGGCGGGCUAAUACCCGAUAACACUGACGCUCUGCGGAGUGUCUUUCAAAGAAGGCCUCUGUUUACAAGCUUUCGCCGGAGGAUGAGCCCGCGUACCAUUAGCUAGUUGGCAGGGUAAUGGCCUACCAAGGCAACGAUGGUUAGCUGGUCUGAGAGGAUGACCAGCCACACUGGGACUGAGACACGGUCCAGACUCCUACGGGAGGCAGCAGUGAGGAAUCUUGCGCAAUGGGGGAAACCCUGACGCAGCAACGCCGCGUGAGUGAGGAAGGCUUUCGGGUCGUAAAGCUCUGUCAGAUGGAAAGAAAUGGUUGAAGGUUAAUACCCUUCAUCCUUGACGGUACCAUCAGAGGAAGCACCGGCUAACUCCGUGCCAGCAGCCGCGGUAAUACGGGGGGUGCAAGCGUUGUUCGGAAUCAUUGGGCGUAAAGCGCGCGCA